GACGAACGCUGGCGGCGUGCUUAACACAUGCAAGUCGAACGGAAAGGCCCUGCUUUUGUGGGGUGCUCGAGUGGCGAACGGGUGAGUAACACGUGAGUAACCUGCCCUUGACUUUGGGAUAACUUCAGGAAACUGGGGCUAAUACCGGAUAGGAGCUCCUGCUGCAUGGUGGGGGUUGGAAAGUUUCGGCGGUUGGGGAUGGACUCGCGGCUUAUCAGCUUGGUGGUGGGGUAGUGGCUUACCAAGGCUUUGACGGGUAGCCGGCCUGAGAGGGUGACCGGCCACAUUGGGACUGAGAUACGGCCCAGACUCCUACGGGAGGCAGCAGUGGGGAAUAUUGCAAAAUGGGCGGAAGCCUGAUGCAGCAACGCCGCGUGCGGGAUGACGGCCUUCGAGUUGUAAACCGCUUUCGCCUGUGACGAAGCGUGAGUGACGGUAAUGGGUAAAGAAGCACCGGCUAACUACGUG
RNAcentral lists this ribosomal RNA (468 nucleotides) under uncultured bacterium. RNAcentral's name for it is "partial 16S ribosomal RNA". It matches the Rfam family "Bacterial small subunit ribosomal RNA", at positions 28 to 507 of the family's 1533-position model. The record is from RNAcentral.